CUAGCUGUAAACGAUGGAUACUAGGCGUUGAGAGUAUCGACCCUCUCAGUGUCGUAGCUAACGCGUUAAGUAUCCCGCCUGGGGAGUACGCGCGCAAGCGUGAAACUCAAGGGAAUUGACGGGGGCCCGCACAAGCGGUGGAGUAUGUGGUUUAAUUCGAUGCAACGCGAAGAACCUUACCAGGGCUUGACAUGUCCGGAACCCUGCCCAAAGGCGGGGGUGCCUACGGGAACCGGAACACAGGUGGUGC
RNAcentral lists this ribosomal RNA (250 nucleotides) under uncultured Chroococcidiopsis sp. RNAcentral's name for it is "partial 16S ribosomal RNA". It matches the Rfam family "Bacterial small subunit ribosomal RNA", at positions 796 to 1044 of the family's 1533-position model. The record is from RNAcentral. Lineage: Bacteria; Bacillati; Cyanobacteriota; Cyanophyceae; Chroococcidiopsidales; Chroococcidiopsidaceae.